Tarenaya hassleriana is the source of this 329-nucleotide long non-coding RNA. RefSeq lists it as uncharacterized. The record is from RefSeq and is a predicted model, not a curated record. The transcript is spliced from 3 exons. NCBI's taxonomy places the organism in Eukaryota, Viridiplantae, Streptophyta, Magnoliopsida, Brassicales, Cleomaceae.
CCCAAACAAGAUUUUUGCUCCGAUUUGAGCCCUUGGACAUCUUUGAACGCCGAUCACCAUCCUAUUGCCACCGCCCCAUCACCGUUGGUGAAGAAAAUCUCGGGGUUAUUGAACCCGGGAUCGAGGAUUAGAGCGAAUCUUUCAGGGUUCAUCGUUUAGACCAAGGUGAAAGGUGAAGCAGAUCAGGUGGUAGGACUUGGUAGUUGCAAGAGACACGAUGUUUUAGAUUUUUAUUUUUAUGAGUUCAGUAUUUUUAGACUUUAUGUUAGAAUUUCAUUAUUGAGACUUCCGCUGCAGAUUUUGAGAUGAUAGUAUGGUAUUAAGAAUAA